This 453-nucleotide ribosomal RNA is filed under the name uncultured bacterium. RNAcentral's name for it is "bacterial SSU rRNA". It matches the Rfam family "Bacterial small subunit ribosomal RNA", at positions 29 to 486 of the family's 1533-position model. The record is from RNAcentral.
AACGAACGCUGGCGGCGCGCCUAAUACAUGCAAGUCGAGCGAGAAGGUGUAGCAAUACACUUGUAAAGCGGCGAACGGGUGAGGAAUGCAUGGGUAACCUACCCUCGAGUGGGGAAUAACUAGCCGAAAGGUUAGCUAAUACCGCAUACGUUUCCGGAACUUCGGUUUCGGAAAGAAAGCAAUACCCGUGGGUAUUGCGCUCCUGGAUGGGCUCAUGUCCUAUCAGCUUGUUGGUGAGGUAACGGCUCACCAAGGCUUCGACGGGUAGCUGGUCUGAGAGGACGAUCAGCCUCACUGGCACUGCGACACGGGCCAGACUCCUACGGAGGCAGCAGUAAGGAAUAUUGCGCAAUGGACGAAAGUCUGACGCAGCGACGCCGCGUGGGGGAUGAAGGUCUUCGGGUUGUAGGAGGCACUUUCACCGGUAGGAAGAUAAUGACGGUAUCCGGAGAA